AGAAGUUAACAGUGCAGGAGAUUGCAUCAAAAUAAAACGAAGGAAUUGGAGUUGUUAACAAUGUAAAGAUGAUCAUUUAAGUUGAUGUUUUGACCGAUUUUAUCUUUAGGUUCCCUCUAAGAAAUACCAACAGAGGCCAUAAUUCUAGUCGACUACACAUGUGCAAGUAUGGAAAUAUAUGUUCAUACUGCAUGCUGGCUGGAUAAGUUUAAUGGGAACUCCGAUUUACCUUGUUCAUGUACUUUUCGACAACUGAAGGAAGGUCGGAGCGCGGUUUGUAGUUGCCGAAGAAGGUGCCCUUGAGAGUCCUCUCGUUCAGGACAUUCAUUGGAUGGGUUUUGAAAGAAUCAUCUUUGUUCGGCACACCAACAAGUACAGCAACGCCCCAUCCAUCAUGGACGCAUUCAAAUGCAGAAAUCAUGGCAUUGACACUUCCAGUACACUCGACACUUCGAUCAACUCCUCCAUUGGUCAUUUCAGCAAUCACCUGAGGACAGUAAAACAAAAUUAGGACAGACGUAAAGGAUUCGCCGAUGAUAGUCUCUCAGAACCCGAUUCACUGUGUCACUUACCUCUUGAACAGGCUUGUUAUGAUCUUUUGGGUUCACAAACUCAGUCACACCAAAUUUCUUGGCUGUUGAAAAAACACAAAUGAACAUCAGAAAGCAGUUAUUAUCACCAAGAUUCAACAUCAAGUCCACUUAAAUAUAUCAAUUUUGUGAUAUUAGCUAUUAGACUGAGCAAAGCAUCAAUCAAUAAUUUAAGCGAAAUGCGCAGCAGCCACAACGAACAUCAUCAUAGCUUCUCUCACCUUCAUCGAAUCUAUUGGAAUUCAAAUCGACACCAAUGAUUCUUGAAGCACCAGCAAUCCGAGCCCCUUCAGCAGCCUAGAUUAGGAAAAAACAACAAGAACAAGUUCUGCAUUAGCACUACCAGCUGCUUGAACAGAAAAAUUCAUCAUUAAUGUACCAGUAUAAACAAACUUACCGCAAGGCCUACAGCUCCUAGUCCGAAAAUGGCUACUGAAGAGCCUUUCUUUGGUUUAGCAACAUUCAAGGUGGCACCAAGACCUACAAGUCAAAAACGAAAUCCCCAUUACGAGAAAGCAACAAAUCGCCCAUUCAAAGAUUUUUAUCAAAUCGUGUAUUUCUCCCGACCUGUAGAGAUUCCACAGCUGAGAACACAAACUUUGUCAAGAGGAGCAGCAGGAUUGAUCUUGGCAACACAGCCAACAUGAACCACAGUGUACUCGCUAAAGGUUGAGGUGCCAACAAAAUGGUAAAUGGGCUGCCCUCUGAUCGAAAACCUUGACUUGCCAUCAUUCAGCAUCACACCCCUGUCAGUGUUAAUCCUAAGAAGAUCGCACAUAUUACUCUCUUCUGAUUUGCAAUGUCGGCAUUCCUUACACUCUCCUGUGAAGACAGGAAGCACAUGGUCACCGGGUUUGAGGUCUGUCACACCCUCCCCAACACUCUCAACAAUCCUAAAAGCCAAGCGGACCAAAAAUCAAAUUAGUCACCUCAAUUCAUCGCUAUUACAACAGUCACAACCAACAUCUAAUCAUGACCAAUAAUGGACUAAUGGUUCAAAUUCAUACCCUCCUGCUUCAUGACCAAAUAUUCGAGGAAACAAUGGGGUUUGACCCUGCAAUUUCACAGCCCAUUUUCGUAAGCAUAAAUCUCUACUAGUAUGACUUAUAAAAAGACCAAUGAGCAGACAUAAUAAUCACAAUUGAAAAUGGAGUCACCUUGGCUUCCCAGAAGUAAACAUCAGUGUGGCAGAGGGAGGUAAAGAGGAUCUUCAAACGAACCUCCAUAGCUUGAGGAGGAGCCACCUCCACUUCUUCUAUUACCAGUGGCUUCCCAGCUUCCCAUGCCACAGCAGCUACAGAUUAAGCAAAUUGCAUCAAGUCAUUGCCAGACAUAAAUGAGAAAUCCAAAUACACAAAAUGACAACAGCACAUAGAACAUAUCACAGACCCCACAAGGAAUCAAGAACUUUCUUGGUUACCUUUGCAACAUAUGACUUGACCAGCAGUGCUUGACAUAUUUGUUUUUGUCUUAAACGAACUUUAGACCCUUCUUUAACGCUUCUUUGAUUACUUUGCUCUGUUUCUUGAGUUGUGACGAGACAGGUUGUCUUUGGAGGUAUUUAUAGUUGCAGAAGGACGCAUAUCUCUCCUGUUUUUUGGAUUAUGUUGACCAUAAAUUUGAAUAUUUCUUAAAAGAAAACCAUUUACGAUCCUGUUGUUUCAUUUGUCCUCUGUUUCUCUCUCUUGGUGGCAACAACGGCUCCCCCUGUUUCUGGCUUUCUCGCUGUUUCUGGUUUUGGCUAACUAUAAACCAGUCCUCAAACUAUACUAUACGUUUUAAUACAAUCUGCUAAAACAAUUUUUGCAAAUUUAUCGUUCAAAUGUCACUGUAUUUCUUUACAAAAAACCUAUCAAUUUUAAUAAUUUUCCUACGCAAAACAUUCUUGAAAAAGAAAAAAAAGAGAGAGAGUUUUGUAGUUUAUACAAAAAUUUGGUUGAGAUCACAAUUUUUCAGACUAUAUAGAAGUUUUAUUUUAUUUUUAUUUAUGUGAUUGAAAAUUCUUGUAGGGUAGUUUUUUCUUAAUUAAAGUUAUGAUAGCAAGUAGUUCUUGACACCCAAAAUACAAUCACAUGGUAAGGAACUGAUUUUUAAGUGAUUGAUGGUUUGAUGGUGAAAUUGAAAGAAAGUAUUUUUUUGACAUUUAAUUGAAAUCUAUAUCUUGAUUGAAGGGUUGAUUUGCAAUUAGCCUUCUAGUUUUGUAUUUCCAGUUGUGGUUUUGCUGUUUGUAUCUUAUUUUACUGCUGAGCCAGGCAGUUGACCUUUUAGAACAUUGUAAUACAGCCGGACUCGUAAUAAAUUACCUUUAUUAAUUUUUAAUGAGGUUUACGCUGCCAGAAGGUUUCUUUUAUAGAGAUAAACACAGCAAUUCUCUGAAAAUUUCUCUGGAAAAUUCAAAAAGUAUUUGAUUUUAAGUGCCUCGAGAAAACACUUUUAUUUAUUUUCCAAACAUUUUUUUAUUCAUUUUUACCACCAAAAAAAUGUUUAUAAAUCCCCAUUCGGUGAAAAAAUAACCACUUAAAUCUAUGCUACGACUUGAUUAAAAUAAAAUAAAAUAAAAGGUGCAGAGAAAACUGUCCCACCUCACAUUACAAUGAGGAUUGAAGCAUUUUUCUCUCUCACUUUUUUUUUCUUUGUUUUGUUUUUUUUUUAAUUAUUAAUUUUUUUUAAUUUUAUUUUUUGAUAUUAUGUUGGUUUGGAUUUGGAAUUAAUGAUUUAUUUUUAUUUAUUUUUUAUAUGGUUAUUGAGAUCUCAAUAAAACAUGUCAACAUCAUGUUGUUGCUCGUUUUCAUAAUUUUUUUUUAUUGUUUGUAAGAAAAUAAAAAUAAAGGGAUCAAAAUCAAAACAAAGAAAAAAUAGCAACCCUUUUGUUUUUAAAAAAACUUUUGUGUUAACUCUAGUUCUUUUUUUUUUUUUGCUUUCAAUCAUCGAGUUUUUUUCUUUUUGAUUUCAUCAUUCAAUAUUGUCUUGAUUACGAAUUAGAAUUUAUAACUUGUUUUGAUCUAUUUUUUAUGUGAUUAUCUCGAUCUCAAAAAAAUUAUUCCAACAUUGAACAAGAAUCUGAUUUUACAAAAAAAGAAGAUGGUUUUAAUGUUUGAAAAGGAUUGAAAUUAAGAGGACUAAAAUUGAAGCAAAGAAAAAAUGGAAGACCUUUAUUUAUAAAAAAAAAAAACAAAGAAAAUGGUGUUAGAGUGCUCGUGCUUAAUUUUGCUUUGGGAUAUUUUCAAAUUUCUUUUUUAGUCCCUUUCGUUUUGUAAUUAAAUAGUUUAGUUCAAAUUUUUUUUCUUAAAAAAAAAAAGGAGCCAUAAAAAAACAACGAAUGAAAAAAGACAGAGGACAGUUGGUUGAAUUUCAAUAAUAAAAAUAACCAAAUUUGAUGUCAAAAUAUUCAUCUUGAAGAAAAGAGUUUCAUUAAAGUGUUUUUACACUUUCAAGUUUUCAACAAAAGUAGAUCUACGUUGAGAGAGAGAUCUUUUGUUGUUUGACUUUGUGUUUUUUAAUAGAUUUUUGAGUUUUUGAGUUGUUGAAUUUGUUUUUUUUUAAUGUUAUAAGAGUAUUUUUAGGUGAAAACAAGUUAAAAAUAUGAUUUUCAAAUCAAAAAAAUCUUAGCUCGAUUUUACAACCACCUUUCUACUAGUCAAAAACUGUGUUUGUAGAUAACACAUCAUUUGUUUUUUUUUUUUUUAAAAAAAUAAAGUUAGAUGGACGACACGUCGUGUGGCUAAUUUAGAGAAUAAAUAAAAUAAGAGUAGGUCUGGGUUAGCAUGCUUUUACACCUGGACUUUUUUUUAAUUGUUUUCCCCAAAACAAUUAAUUUAAUUUCUUAAAAAUAGAUUAAUUUAAAAUAUGUUUUAAAAAUUAUUUUAAAAAUUAUUAAAUAAAUUAAAAAUAUAUUUUAAAUAUUAUUUUAUUAAAUUCCAUUUAAUUUUUGCUUUGUUCUCGAGUGAGAUAAUAGUAAUGUUUUUAUAAUAUUAGGAAACAUUUUUAUUUUGUGCAAUCCAUCGUAAUUCUCUUUUCUCAUAGUUUCUUUGCUAAGAUAGUCUAUUUCUACUAUCAUAUAAUUAAAAUAAAAAAUGGUAUAAAAAUGAACUUAUUAUAUCCACUCGAGUCUAUGACUUGGGUGGCUAGUUUGGGAGGCGACUUGUAUUGAUCAAAUUUAUCACCGUCUUAUUAAUUUUUUUUAAAAAAUAUUGUCUUGAAUUUGUUUUUAGUCAAACUAUAUUUUUACCAGUCAUAUAGGUUUUCCUCUCACUCACUAAGUCGACAUGGUAAUAUUAGAUCAACCCCUACACAAAUUAAUUUGAUACCCAAGCUAGAUAAGUAUUUAAAUCAGAAGGUUUUAAAGUUAACCAAUUAAGUUGGGUUAUGAGCUAAUGAAUAUAUUUUUUCUUACUAAUGGAAAACACAUUGACAUUGUUUUUUAAACUCAAUAUUUUUUUUGGUUUAAUUUGUGAUGUAAAAUGGGCUAAUUAUCUAGUUACAUUCUAAAACACUAUCUACAUAAAAAUAAUAUUAGAAAAUUAAAUUUGAGGAAGUCAUAUAAAAUUUACAAUAAAAAAUUAAGAUAAUAGAUAUUUUUUUCUCAUCCAAUUUUAAUGAGAAAAUAAUUUUAUAAACUCUACAUAUUAGGCUACCAUAAUCAUCCAUAAAGCAAUAAAUGAAAUCAUUAUAAAACAAGAGCUCUAAUCUUCAUAAAAACAAUAACAUGAUUUUUUAUUAGAAGAAUGUUUUUUUAAUAAAAAGCAUCUAUAAUUAAAAUAAAAGCUUGUAAAAAUCUUGAUCAUUUGAAAUAAUUAGGAAAAAAUAUAUCUUCAAUCUAAACUCUUUUAAUCGAAAACAUUGUUUUUUAGAUAAAAAAAAAACAAAUAUUAUGAUCUAAAUGCAAUUAUUAAUAAAAAAAACUAAAAUAAUGACUUAAAAUUUUGUACAAAAGGAAAAACCCCUAUUAAUGUGAUAAAAUAAAUUAAGAAAUCUAUUUAAAAUAACAUAAGUAGAAAAUUCUUUUUUCUUGAAUAAUAAUCUAAAUAUCAUGACAAGGUGCACCUCAAUAAAAAAGCUUGAAAAAAUUAGGAAAAAGUAUAAAAAGAGUCUAAGGGCCUAAAAUAUUAAGCGGACACACGUAGCUCAAGGAAGACAAAAGUUUGUGUGCAAGCUAUGCCUUUUUUUUUUAAAUGUUUAAGAGUGGACGAUAAGUUAAUUUUUUUUUUUAAUGAAGCAGAUGACACGUCUGCUUGCUUGCUCGAUUUAUGAUCAUCAAAGAGGUGGCUAAAAAGUCAUGAUAAAGGUUUUUUUAGGACCAAAAGACCUACUUUUUAGCAUAUUUUUAUCUAAAACCACCUAGUAAACAUUACAAGAAUCCUAAUAAAUCAACUUAUAUCAUCAAAGCCACCUUAAAUUGAUUAAAACCCAUAAAAUAAAGUUGACGAAAGUAAACUCUUCCCUAACCUUUAUCUGCAUUUUUCAGUAAGAUAGAAGCCCAAAAAUACUUAAAUGACUACCCUCCCAUUAAGAGGAACCCAAUAACACCAAAAUCAGCCUUGCUAGUGGCUGGAAUGUGGCCGACCAACUUCUUUCUCUCUCUUUUCUCAUUAUCCGUCGUCUCUCUCUCCUCUCAAAGUCCAAUGACUGAAAUAUAAUAGAAAUGAAGUUCGGUAUUUAAACCCGAAACCAUAAAAAAAGGGGACAAAACGGGGGAAAAUUAAAACUAUAGGACCGAACUGUAAUUCUCCAUGCCAAAGUGAAAAAAAGGGUUGGAUAUGCUUAGCCAUGUAAAUGUUGGUCAUUGUUGUUUCAAUUUUCUAAAAUUAAUAAAAUCAAAUUCUAUUUUCUAAAAUUGAGGAGCAAUUCUAAUGCAAUUAUAAGGUAUCGAUUACACAUAUAUCAUUUUUCUAGGGGUGAAGCUGACAACCAUCAUACUAGUAUUAGGAAUUGUAGCUGCAAAAGAUUUGCAUCUUAAGUAGUUAAAUGUGAAAAUUGCUUCUCAUGAAUAUUUAUAGGAAAAAUAUCUACAUAAAGCAGCCAAAAGGAUUCCCAGUAAAUGAACAAGAAAAUCUAGUUUGCAAACUAAAAAAAAGCUUGUAUGGCUUGAGUUAAUAAGAUUAGAAGGAGACCAUUGAUGUUAUGUGAAGAACUUUGAUAGCAAGUCAUAAAGUCUUAAGAAUAGAAUCGGUUAAAAUACAUUACCAUGUGAGACCGACAACGUGGAUUGAGAACUACAGUUUGAAGCUUAAUCUGGUCCUUUUUCCAUUUAAUUUUGUAGUAGUUUGGACUCUGUAUUUUUAUUUGUACUAAUUUCAACAUUUCAUUCUCAAUCUUGUCCUUCACCGUUACAAACAGUGUUAAGUCUUGCCGGCAACUGGUAGUACAUGUUUAACAAUGUUUUAAUCGGUAACUGAUGGAGGGAACUCUGACCACACAACUGAGCGGCUUUACGAAAAUUGGAGUUCAUUCUGUACAGACCAUGCUCUAUCUUCAGGCCCUCGGUAACGGGUUCCAAACAGCAUUUUGUCCGAACUGGCUAGUUUCCCUUCAGAUUAAUUGGAUCAAAGUUAUAUCUAGAACCACAAGUGAAGUUGCCAUUCUGGCCAGGCUUCAGGAUUUAUAUCAAAGUUUUCUAUCCACAGCACCAUUAAAAACACAAACUGAAAGAAAAAGAACAUGUGAUUCUUUGAUUUAUAUUUACAUGCCAGAAAUGGGCUAAUUAUAUAUAUAUUAUUUUUGCCAUCAACAAUGAAAGAAAUUACAUACUGAUGCUCAAACACCCAAACUCUCUUUAAUCAACAAUCUGAAACAAGAAUUUUAUUGUUUCCUGUCACACCAAGGCAAACCAAACCAGUCUUCUUUUAUGCACCCAUACGGAUAAUACACCUCAGGCCAGCUCCACUAAGCAUGUACUCGAAAGCCUUGUUGAUUUCUGAGAAAGGGACUUCAUGGGUGAUGAAUUUCUCUAGCUCCAGCUCCUGUCACAUUACAACUAGAUUAGUUAACAGUGAAAUAGAUUGUAUCAAAAUAAAAGAAGGAAUUGGAGUAGUUAAUUCUAGUCGACUACGCAUGUGCAAGUAUGGAAAUAUAUGCUCACACUACAUGCUAGCUGGAUAAUAUUAAUGGGAGCUCCGAUUUACCUUGUUCAUGUACUUCUCGACAACUGAAGGAAGGUCGGAGCGCGGUUUGUAGUUCCCGAAGAAGGUGCCCUUGAGAGUCCUCUCAUUCAGGACAUUCAUUGGAUGGGUUUUGAAAGAAUCAUCUUUGUUCGGCACACCAACAAGUACAGCAACACCCCAUCCAUCAUGGACGCAUUCAAAUGCAGAAAUCAUGGCAUUGACACUUCCAGUACACUCGACACUUCGAUCAACUCCUCCAUUGGUCAUUUCAGCUAUCACCUGAACACAGUAAAUCAAAAUUAGGACAGGCGUAAAGGAUUCGCCGAUGCUAGUGCUCAGAACACGAUUCUCUUUGUCACUUACCUCUUGAACAGGCUUGUUAUGAUCUUUUGGGUUCACAAACUCAGUGACACCAAACUUCUUGGCUGUUGAAAAAACACAAAUGAACAUCAGAAAGCAGUUAUUAUCACCAAGAAUCAACAUCAAGUCCACUUAAAUUUAUCUGUUUUGUGAUAUUAGCUAUUAGACUGAGCAAAGCAUCAAUCAAUAAUUUAAGAGAAAUGCUCAGCAGCCACAAUGAACAACAUCAUAGCUUCUCUCACCUUCAUCGAAUCUAUUGGAAUUCAAAUCGACACCAAUGAUUCUUGAAGCACCAGCAAUCCGAGCCCCUUCAGCAGCCUGGAUUAGGAAAAAACAACAAGAACAAGUUCUGCAUUAGCGCUACCAGCAGCUUGAACAGAAAAAAUUAUCAAUAAUCUACCAGUAUAAACAAACUUACCGCAAGGCCUACAGCUCCCAGUCCGAAAAUGGCUACCGAAGAGCCUUUCUUUGGUUUUGCAACAUUCAAGGUGGCACCAAGACCUACAAAUCAAAAGAGAAAUCCCCAUUAAAAGAAAGCAACAAAUCGCCCCAUUCAAUGAUUUUUAUCAAAUCGUGUAUUUCUCCCGACCUGUAGAGAUUCCACAGCUGAGAACACAAACUUUGUCGAGAGGGGCAGCAGGAUUGAUCUUGGCAACACAGCCAACAUGAACCACAGUGUACUCGCUAAAGGUUGAGGUGCCAACAAAAUGGUAAAUGGGCUGCCCUCUGAUCGAAAACCUUGACUUGCCAUCAUUCAGCAUCACACCCCUGUCAGUGUUAAUCCUAAGAAGAUCGCACAUAUUACUCUCUUCUGAUUUGCAAUGUCGGCAUUCCUUACACUCUCCUGUGAAGACAGGAAGCACAUGGUCACCGGGUUUGAGGUCUGUCACACCCUCCCCAACACUCUCAACAAUCCUAAGAGCCAAGAGGACAAAAAUUCAAAUUAGUCACCUCAAUUCAUCACUAUUACAACAGUCAGAGCCACCAUCUAAUCAUGACCAAUAAUGGACUAAUGGUUCAAAUUCAUACCCUCCUGCUUCAUGACCAAAUAUUCGAGGAAACAAUGGGGUUUGACCCUGCAAUUUCACAGCCCAUUUUCGUAAGCAUAAAUCUCCACUAGUAUGACUUAUAAAAAGACCAAUGAGCAGACAUAAUAAUCACAAUUGAAAAUGCAGUCACCUUGGCUUCCCAGAAGUAAACAUCAGUGUGGCAGAGGGAGGUAAAGAGGAUCUUCAAACGAACCUCCAUAGCUUGAGGAGGAGCCACCUCCACUUCUUCUAUUACCAGUGGCUUCCCAGCUUCCCAUGCCACAGCAGCUACAGAUUAAGCAAAAUGCAUCCAGUCAUUGCCAGACAUAAAUGAGAAAUCCAAAUACACAAAAUGACAACAGCACAAAGAAUAAAGAACACAUCACAGAUCCCACAAGGAAUCAUGAACUUUCUUGGUUACCUUUGCAACAUAUGACUUGACCAGCAGUGCUCGACAUCUUUGUUUUAAACGAACUUUAGACCCUUCUUUAACGCUUCUUUGAUUACUUUGCUCUGUUUCUUGAGUUGUGACGAGACAGGUUGUCUUUCUAGGUAUUUAUAGUUGCAGAAGAACGCAUGUCUCUCCUGUUUUUUGGAUUAUGUUGACCAUAAAUAUGAAUAUUUCUUAAAAGAAAACCAUUUACGAUCCUGCUGUUUCAUUUGUCCUCUGUUUCUCUCUCUUGUUGGCAACAACGGCUCCCCCUGUUUCUGGCUUUCUAGUUUCUCUAUUUAGUUUGUGUCUGGUUUUGGCUAACUACAAACCUGUCCUCAAACUAUGCUAUACUUUGUUAAUACUAUCUGAAGAAACAAUUUUGCAAAUUUAUCGUUCAAAUGUCACUGGUUUUGUAGUUUUGACAAACAUUUGGCAGAGUUCACAAUUUCUUAAACUAACUAGAAGUUUUAUUUUAUUUUGUGAUAAAAAAAACUAUCGUGUAGUGUUUUUUUAAUUAAUAUUACGAUAGCAAGUAGUUCUUGACACUCAAAAGAAAAAUUACAUUGUAUGGAAAUUAUUUUUAAGCGAUUAAUCGUUUGAUGGUAAAAUUGAAAAUGAGUAUAUAGUUUGACAUUUAAUUGAAAUAUCUAUCAUAAUUGAAGGACAUUUGUGCAAUUAUCGUUUCUAGUUUUUGUAUUUCCAGUUGUGGUUUUGCUGUUUGUUUCCUUUACACUGCAGCGGCAAGUCGUUGACCUUUUAGAAUCUUGUAAUACAGCCGGACAAACACUUACCUUUAUUAUUUUUUUAAUGAAGUGCAGGCUGUCAAAAGAAUUUCUUUUAUAGAGAAAACACAGACAUUUUCUGCAAUUUCUGGAAAAAUUUAAAAAACAUCUCAUUUAAAAUGCCCUGAGAAUUUAUUUUUUUUGUUUAUUUUGCAAACGUUAUAUUUUUUUUCUAAAAAAUAGAGAUUAUAAAUCAUCACUCAAAACACAAAUAACCAAUUAAUAUAUGAUAAGACUUAUUUAUGAGUAAUUAAAAACAAUUACAAUUCUUCAAAAAAUGUAUAAUCUAAUCUGAUUGGUUCAUUAAUAACUUAAAUGACUUGGAGUUUAAGUUAAGUCGAGUUUCAACAAUAACAAGAAUAAAAUUGAUUUGUGUGACCUGGUAAAAAAUUUGGGUUGACUCGCAACUCGAUCAGUCCAGGGAUAACCCAUUCAAAACCCGGUUAAAUUCCUUCAUUUGUUUUCAUUUUAAAUUUGGGUAAAUUACUCUAAGAAUCCUAUGGUUUGAUUUUUUUUUUUAACUUUGCAACUAGGUUUUUGAAUAUUACAAUUUAUAACUUGAAUUUUGAAGACAAAUAACAUUUUAUUCUUUAGAGUUGGUGUCACAAAAAGAGUCAACAAAUAAUAUUUAUUUAUUAAUAAAAUUUCAUUAUAUUUGAAAUAAUGGCUAAAGAGUUCUGAAAUGUAAAAAUAACAAAAACAUAACUAAAUUCUCUUUAAUAUACUCAAUCACAUAAUAAUCUAACAAGUAAAAUAAGCAAUCAUCAAUCCACCUUGUAAGAUAAUUUCUAAUAUGAAUUUUUUGAAGAUUAGUAUGUAAAAUUAAAAUCAUUUUGCCUCAGUGAGAGAACAUAUUUUACCCCAUUCAAACUAAUAGUGCCUUUGUGGGUUACAUCAUGAAUAUUCAACUUAUUACAUUAUUUAUAUGUAUGCCAACAAUAUUUGCAACAACCAAAUGCCAACAAUAUUUGCAACAACCAAAUGCCAACAAUAUUUGCAAUAACCAAGAACUUUCUUCAGCCCUAGAAAUUCUAGUCAUGCUCAAAAUAUUAACAGAGAAAAUCACACCACAGAUGUUCCAGCCAAGCACUUUCUUGGUUUGCUUGAUAACUAGUUGUUGUUUUCUUAGAUUAGGAGAGAGAGAAUUUUGUGUUUGUUUUGUGUAGGCAGAUUUGUCGAAGAGGUCGAUAGCCAUACUAAUCUUGCAGCGGGUGUUGGGUUUUCUAAAUAUCAUACAUAUAGCAGAAACUAGGAAACAAUAUUAUUUGAGAGUCCCUAGGAUCUCGUUAGAUAGAUCUAGAGUUGUUUAUGAAUUUAUUGCCUGAAGAUUUGAUCUUCUUCAGCUUUGAAUAAUUCUUUAAAAGUUGGGUUGUCGUAAAUCACAAGUUAUCCAAUUGUCCGGCCUUCAACAACAAUCCACAUGAACCAUCAAUGAGAAAUCUCUUAAAUUCCUAUUUAUAAGAAAGGGAUUGUUAUGCCUAGAGUGCUAGUUCUAAUUUUGUGCUUACGUAGUUUUUCUGUCUAACAUAAAACAUCUAUAAAAUAAGAGACAUAGCUUACUAUUUAUAGAAAAAUUUGAAAAACCAUAUAAAUUAACAAAAUGUCAAUUUGCCCCUGAAUAAUAUCUAUAUAUUAAUUCAGGAUAAUUUUGAAAAUUAACUCAAUCAAGUUCUUAUUUGAUUUUUCUAGAUUUAGAAAUAUAAUACUUGUAUUAAUUAUAUUCUAAUUCUUAAUUUCUAAAAUAUAUUUUAAUUAAGUCAUAUUUAAUUAAAUAAUCUCAGUUUAAUUUCUGACUGUUGGUUCUUAAUGCGUGUAACCCAUUAGGUUCCUAAUAUGUUGGCCCAAAUAUAAAUUAUAAUUCUAAUUAUAUAGAAUUAAAUAAAUUAAACAAUUUAAUUUAUUAUCAAUUAAAAAAUUGAUUAAUUUAUAUUUGAAGAUCAGGUGUAUCAUCUAGCAACAUGUCAUGAUCUAUUAAAUAUUAAAAAAAUCAUUAGUGGUUUGACCUAACUUUUCAGUGACUAGUUUCUUAGUGUAAUUAAUAUCCUUUCAUAAAUAAUGUUCUAAUUUAACAUUAAAGCAUAUAGUAUAUCUGCAAUGUUAAAUCAUGUUUGCUCUUUACAUAAUAGUCAUUGAUCGUUUUUAUAAGAUUUGAAACUCUUUUUAAAUCUUAUUCCACAUUGACCAAUGAUUUCUCAAUCAAUACUAUUUGAGAACAAAUGAAAUACUUUCCCUAAUUCACCUAGGGUGAUGAAUGUUCUCUUGAUCACUCAAGUACCUUUAUAUAGUUCAUGUUAUACCCAAUGUCUGUCAUUUCGUUACCUCGAUCAAGAUAACAUGUAACAUGAUUAAAGCAUAACAUUCUCUAUAUAAGAUACUUAGUGAUCUCAAGUCUAAGGAUCAUAUACACAACCGUCACAUGAGCUUUUUUAUAGACAUGGGUGAUCUCUCUAUAUGAAAUUCUCAUGUGGAUCAAUUUAGUAUACAUAUCUUCUAACAAACACCUACAUAUUAGUUCUAGGUAUCCCUUAUACCUCAACUUAUGAGAAUAUCUGCUUCCUUUCAUAAAUAAAAUAACAUAAUAUGUAUUAGUCUUUAUGGCUCUAAUGAAUGUCCAGUAUUUCAGAUAUCAUCGACCAAAAAUAUUUUAGGAACAAUAUUUUGAUGCAAUAAAAAUCUCAUAAUUAUAACAACUCUAUAAUUUUAUUUAAAAAUAUUUUUGUUCUAUGAAUUUUAUCUUUACUCUAGAUUUAUUAAUCUAAUAUUAUAUGAAUAUUAAAAAUAAAUUAAGCAUUUAUUAAUAAUAAAUAUGCAUUUACAUAAAUAUAAUAAUAUCACAUGUAACUAACCGAAUGACUACAUGACAUAUUAAACUAACAGCGGGCACCAAUAAUGGGGAUGAGGGAGGCAACAUGUAGGUGAGAAUGGUGAUGAGAGUGGCAUGGGGAAGAAGGAUGAUGGAUCUUGAUUGUUGUUAAUGAGGAUUCAUUGCUAAGGUCUGGAUCUACUAGGUUUUCUUGUAGUUUUCUUGAUUUGCUCGAUAAUUAUUUCUUGAUUUCUUAGAUGGUUUGGAUCUACUGUUUGUUUUUUUUUUUUUUGUAUUUUGGUUAGGGGGUUUGAACAAGGAGAGAAUAAGUGGUGUGGUUAUGACUAUCAUGCACACUUUAAUAUAUGUGAGGGUAUUAUUGUUUUUUUGUUGUUUUUUAAAAUCUACUUUGAUCAAGGUUGCAAAGUGUAAUAUUUAAAACUUUGUUGCACAGUGAAAAAAAUAAUCAAACCAUAUAAUGCUAAAAGUAAUUUACCCUUUAAUUGUUUUUUUUUUAAAUGAUGUCAUUUUUACUUUUUUAUAAAAUAAAAAGAAUGAAUCAACUCGAGUCAACCCGCUAACUCAGACCUUGCCAUAGAUUAGGUUUAAAAACUAUGCUUAUAAGAGAAAAAAAAAUAUUUAAAUGAGUCAUGAUAAGUCAUUAAAGACUUAUAUUUUUCACUUGAGAGAAUCAUGGGUUCUUCUUGGUAUAUUAUCGGACUUGGGCUUAAAUAGAAAAUGGAGUAGCUUAUUUGGAUAGGGCUAGGUUAUUCAGAGUUGGAAAAAGAGUUGAACAAUGGCAAAACUUGGCCCUUCUUGAUAUCUAAUUGAUAAGUUUUUUUUAUAUGGAUAGAGGGUUAUCUGAUACUUAAAUCAACAACUAUUUAUUAAAGAAAAUGUAUUGAAUGUAAUCUAUGACCAGAUUGUUUAUAAUGAAACUAAAUGAUAUUGUAUUGGAUCACUUCAAGAAAGGGAAAGAAUCAUUCUCCAUUCUUAUCAUGAAUGCUUACCUAAUUAUAUAGUUGUAAAACUACUAGACUAUAUAGAUAUUUUUUAAAGUACUUUGUUAUCUUUCUAAAAAUCUCUCCUUUAUUAUAUUGUUUGUCAAGAUUUAUAUAAUGGUUAUGUUACUUCUUCUUUCAUACAAAGAAGGUAAAAAAUAAUAAUCUUAUCUUAAUUAUGUGGGGUAAUUACCUUAAUUAUGAUAAGUCAUUUUACUAAACUAGAGUGUCCAAGGAGCUAGGCAUACCACCAUAAGGUUUUCUUUUUAAUCGAGUCAAUUAUGUUACUGAAAACCUAUCAAGUUUUACCAAUUUUAUAUUUUUUUAUUGAACUUGAAACCUAACUAAGUACAAACUCUAAAUUGGUCGAUCAAUGUUUAAUAACUGAUGUGUCCUAAAAUCCAAGAUGUUUGAGAAUAAGGCUUAUAUAUUGGAUAAUCAGUUAAUCUUUUAGUUCAAGUAAUUUAAUCUAUUUUUUUUAACCAAGAUGUCUAAUGGCUUGAUAUAAAAAAUCAUGGUGGUUGAUAGCCGGUAGCAACAAUAUCUUCUCCCUGGUGGCUAUAAAUUUUUCCUAACCAAGAGUCCUAAAUUAAAUGCUAGCAUACCCAGUAGAGGUGAUCAUUUUCAGUUUGGUUAGGUUUUUAUAAAAAAAAAUAACCAAACCGAAUUUUUUUAAAAUAAAAAAAAAAACCGGUUCAAACCGACCGGUUUCGGUUCUGUUCGGUUUUUUUGGAUAAAAACCGGUUCAAAUCGAUUUGGCUCGGUUUUUUCAGUUUGGCUCGGUUUUUUUGGUUUAGCUCGGUUUUUUUCCAGGUUUUUUUUUCGGUUUCAGACUUAUAAAAAUGAAACCAAAACGAACCAGUCGGUUUUUUCAAAAUUUUAAUCGAUUUAAUCGAUUUUUUUUCAUGGUUCAGUUUUUUAAUUUUUUUUUUUUCAGUUUUUUUUUCACCCCUAAUACCAGUAUCUUAAUCAAAUGGGUCCAAACACUAUCCUUGAACAGAAUAAUAAGACCUGGCACGCCCAACACCCAAAUUAAUUGGAAGAGUGCUGGCGCACCCAACAUCACCCAAUUAAUUGGGAUGGUGUCAGUACCCCCAAUUAAUUUAGGUGCCAGGCACGUGCUCAACACCAAAAAAUUAAUUGGGUCUCAGAGUUACACAGGAAACUAAUUUGAGAAUCACGUUCCCUUAUUAUCUAAAGCUUAAGAUGGUACCUUUACUUUUAAUUUUAUACUAAUUUGGACUCUCUAUUUUUAUUUGUAUUAAUCUCAACCUUUUAUUCUCAUUUUUGUUAUUAGUUAGUCCUCUUGUCCAUCACCAUUACAAGUAGUCUUAAAUCUUUCCGGCAUCUGAUACAUUUUUAACAGCUAAGUUUAACGAUGUUCGUAUCAGUAACUAACUGAUGGAGUGAAUUCUGACCUCUGUGCACCAAUACGAAAUUUGGAGUUCAUUCCGGACAAACCUUGCUGUAUCUUCUGCCGCUCGGUAAUGGGUUCCGAACAGCAUUGUGUUUCUGACCAGACCAAAUUUGAGCCAUGCCUAAUUUCCCUUUAGGUUCAUUGGAACAUAGUAAUCUCUAGAACCAGAAGUGAAAAUGCCAAUCUGGCCUGGCUUCAGGAUUUUUUUUUCAAUGUUUUCGUAUCCAUAGCACCGUGAAAGACAAACUGAAAGGGACACAAAAAGCACUGAAAAAGUACAAGUCAAAUUUUGAUUUACAUAUACAUACCAGAAAUGGGCUUUAAUAUUUUUUUUUCCAUCUACAAUGAAAGAAAUUACACACUGUUUUAUCAAAAACUCUGACACUCAAACACAGAAACUUUCUUUAAUCAACAAUCUCAAACAAGAAUUUUAUUGCUUCCUGUCACACCAAGGCAAACCAAACCAGUAUUCUUUUAUGCACCCAUACGGAUAAUACACCUCAGGCCAGCUCCACUAAGCAUGUACUCGAAAGCCUUGUUGAUUUCUGAGAAAGGGACUUCAUGGGUGAUGAAUUUCUCUAGCUCCAGCUCCUGUCACAUUACAACUAGAGAAGUUAAAAGUGCAGGAGAUUGCAUCAAAAUAAAAAGAAGGAAUAACUACUGAUUUCAUUCCCGUGACACAAGUUUCAAAAUUCAAUGCAAGUGUAUUAGCAUUGCACUACCAAAGAAGGUUAAUAAUUUUCAUUUUCACAUGUAAAGGUGAUCAUUUUAAGUUGAUGUUGCGUCCAUGAUUUUAUCUUUAAGUUCCCUCUAAGAAAUACCAACAGAGCCGUAAUUCUAGUCUACUACAUAUGUGUAAGGAUGGAAAUAUAUGUUCAUACUGCAUGCUGGAUAAGAUUAAUGGGAACUCCGAUUUACCUUGUUCAUGUACUUCUCGACAACUGAAGGAAGGUCGGAGCGCGGUUUGUAGUUGCCGAAGAAGGUCCCCUUCAGAGUCCUCUCAUUCAGGACAUUCAUCGGAUGGGUUUUGAAAGAAUCAUCUUUGUUCGGCACACCAACGAGUACAGCAACACCCCAUCCAUCAUGGACGCAUUCAAAUGCAGAAAUCAUGGCAUUGAUGCUUCCAGUACACUCGACACUUCGAUCAACUCCUCCAUUGG
This 16674-nucleotide long non-coding RNA is filed under the name Populus trichocarpa (black cottonwood). RNAcentral describes it as "long non-coding RNA (PTRI_LNC002026)". Lineage: Eukaryota; Viridiplantae; Streptophyta; Magnoliopsida; Malpighiales; Salicaceae. The record is from RNAcentral.